UAUCACACUAAUCACAUAUACAGAAAACUGAAGAUUGGUAGAAAUCAGAAAAAACAACCAAUUGAGUCCUUAAUUUAUUAUAAAUUCAUUUACUAUAAAGAAAACCAUUCAUUUCAUAUUUAUGUAACAAGUCUCUCCCAACAAUAACUUACAAAAACUCAUAUUCAAACACUAUUAUUUAUCGCAUAGAAGAUAAUAAGAAAUGAUCAUUUUACAUUUUUACCCACUUACCAGUACCCUUGGGGGUCCAUUGGGAUGUCCUCCUACUCGUGAAUCCAAUAUCUAAUUAAACAAUUAACCGGUCGUCUCCAUACCCCGUCUGGUAUGGGCGCCAAACAUGCCACCACCUCGAUACCCCGUUCGAUAUGAGAGUGAAUCAUAUCUCUCAAAUCUUCCUAGUAAGAGACUUUCCAGCCCCGUCCAACUGAGCUUACACAUUCACGGUAGGGUUCUCUAUGUACCGAGCCCGUCCACCCUUUCCCGGGUACCUAAUAAGUCUUUCUUAUAUAGAUUUUCAUCAGCAUAAUAAUUAACCAUGCAAUAACCAUAUCUCAUUUUAUACUCACCGUUCACUUAAACAAUAAUAUAAUUUCACACCGUCAAAUAACCAAUAACCAGGAUACCGACACGCAAUGCAGGGAAAAUAAAUAAAAAAUAACCAAAAAGACCCUAAAAACUAUUAAUUGAAUUACGCACAGUAUAAUAGUAAAUAAAUAUAGGCAAUAUAGGAAAAUAAACAGGAAAUCAAAACGACUGUGAACUAAAUUGUUCCGGCUCCACCAAUGACCUGUAAUUAUUUUUAGAGUUCUCUAAUUUUUUAUAAAAACACACAAUUAUUAAUUAUUAAGUUUUAAUUUGGUGUAAUGGAGAAAAAGAUGAGAGAUUCUUACCCAAAUCGGUGCCCGAAAUACUGAACUUUCUACUGUGUCUAUUGUCGGUCUUCAGGUUUCUUAAAUUAUCCAUGUGGAAUCUAAAACACUUGUUACGUACCUAAAAAUAUCAUAGGAAUCCAAAAUUGGUAAAAAAAUCCUUUCCGACAAAAUUUGGGGUUCCGGCACAGCGGCACCGCCGUGCUUCAAUGACAGCACCACUGCUUGCGGCGGUAGUUUGCCUCGGUUUGGCCGUUUUUGGCCAGUUUUGGCCAGUUUUGGCUAACUUUAUACAUAUCCCUACAAGAAAAUACGUUAGAGGGCCUCGGUUGGCCGAAAAAAUCGAAAAACAGAAACUUACCCGCAGUGGGGUUUUUCGGAUGCGGUGGCUCCGCCAGCUCACCUUCGCGACUGGGAGUUUUUCUUCGGUCAACCGGUAAAAAACAGAACGGUGAACACAACAAUGAAAAAAUCGCACGAAACGAAAAACGAGAAGGGGCUCAUCGGAGGAGGUUGCGAGUUUUGCCCACGGCAGCACCGCCGAGCUUCGCCCGCAGUUUUCGGCUCAACCACUAUCCCUUUUGCUCCGAUUUAGCCAUAGGGGUGCUUGAAAUCAAAUUUCAAGUGGUUAAGAGAACUUUUACCUUUUUUGGCGGUCGGAGGUGGCUCCGGUGCGGUGGCGGUUAACGAUCUUCUCCCUUCUUCGGCGACUGGUUCUUCUUCUUCGGCAGGAGGUUGGCGGCUAGGAUUUGAGUUCAGUGUGAUGCGAAAUAUUUAUUACCGUCUUGCGUUAAUUUAGGUUGUUCAUCACAUUUGAUCUCGACUAUCAGAUCGCGUUUAAAGAAAAAAUGAAUCUUGAUUGUUCAUCGCGAUUUGAUCUCGACUGUCCGAUCGCUUUUAAAGGGGGAACAAAUCCGGACCGUCCACGCAUGCGGGAUCGAUCUUGGGCCGUUCGAUCGCAAGGCAUGCGAAUCGCCCGCGUGACAUCAACAUCAACGUGUCUUGCCACACGGCGUGCUCCGGUUCAUCGGAGUUGCUGACUGGGUAGUCCUACAUGGCAAAUUUUUCUUAUUUGCACUCUAACUUUCAAUUUUUGAUUUUUCUUUGAAAAAUAUCUCCCAGACCCAAAUUUUCACUUCUUUUUUUCCAAAAUUAGUUUUAAUUUCAUCCGUAACCUAAUUUUUUUUAUAAAUUCAACAAAAAUUAAAAUAAAUUAAUUUUAAAAAUAAUUUUUUUUAUAUUUUUAAAAAUGUAAAAUUAAUCUCGAACCAAAUUUCAGAUCUAGAUAUUGCAUAUACUUUUCUAUUAUUUAAGCUUUAUUCCUUAUCCAAUUCCUUCUUUAUUUAUCUAAGUCAUUUCGUUUUCUUUUAACUUAAACUUAAUCUCAUUUCAAUCCUAUUACUUUGCUUGGUUAAGGAACUUAUUUUACUAAAUUUGUUAACUUUAAAUUAUUAUCUCAUUUUUUGUUUUGUAUGUUAUGAUUUUUUUUCUUUUAUUCUGAUUUAACUUAGCUCCAAACAAUUUCUCGAUUUUUCUCCCUCACAAUUUUCUUUUCUCACAAUUCUUCCUAAGCUUGUCUAUUUAUUGUAUUAUUUCUUUCUUUAUUUUGAAUUUUGUAUUUACUAAUUUUUAUUUAUCAACUUAUUUUAAUUUAUUUAUUAAUUUCAUUAAAUCUUCUUAUUUCAUUUUAUAUUGGUUAUUAUCUUUUAACCUAUAUGUAUUACUUUUGAUUAAUAAAUUACUUAACUCUAGUUUCUAAUUAUUGUAUUUUUAUUUGUAUAUUAAUUUCAAGCAUUUUUUUCCUAUUCAUUUCCUUUUGUUACUCUUUUGUCAAAACUCUUUCUUUUUGCUAUCCAAAAUUAUUUAUCAAUCUAAACUAUAAAUCCCAUGAAUCAUGUCUUUUUAUUAUCUUUCAAUUGCUUUUAUCAUUUAUGUUACUUAAAAAAUCAAUUUAAAAUCAAAGUUUUUAGUAUUUAUUUAUUUUUUCUAACCUCCAUAUUCAGUCACCUAUCUAGAUAUUGUCAUACCACACUCAAAUUUCAUAUUUAAAAUAUAUAUGCUAAUAUGUAUUUAAUUAUAUCAAUAUAUAAAUUUUUAUUACAAUGUUUACGUUAAAAUCAUGUAAAAUAUAUUCCAUAUAAUUUAUUCUUCAUGCAUAUAAAAUCUAUUUUUUAUCAUAUAAAUAUAUGUUGUAUUAUACAUACUGCCUUUGUAUAUAUACAUACAUAACAAGCCUACAUAUAUUUAUACACUACAUAUAUAUAUAUAUAUAUAUAUUCAGAUACCACUCAAACAUAUAUAUUCAUAUAUUCAACUACAUACACAGUAUACAUACAUGCACAUGAUAAGUUUGCAGAGUGUAUAUACUAUAUAUAUAUAUAUAUAUCGCAAAAACUUGAGAAUAUGUAAAAUAUUAGGAUAAACCAAUUUAAGAGAAAUUUAAAAUUUUCAUAAAAAUAUGAAGGGUCUUGUCUUCGAACGAACUAACCCAAUCCUUACCUAAAUUUAAAAUAAGAAAAUGAUGCCGGAAGUCUUAGGUUCGAGUCCCGAAACCUUACCAUGAAAAUAAGAUUUCGGUAUCUGAUGGACUUCCCUUCGGCUCGCCGUGUCAGAGUGAACGGUAUAGACUUAGAUCUGCACGUGUGUGUGAUUAAAACAUGUUUUAAAAGUAUGGAAGUAGAAAAGAGAAGAGAAGCGUACCUGUAUCUCAAACACCACCGUCUCCGGUGUCCGAUAUGGCCUCAGGCCAUAAUGACUCUUUUCUUUUCUUCCUUUUUUUCUUUUCCUCUAGUCUAUCGCACCUCCAUGAGCACCUUCCUUUUCUCUCUCUCUCUCUCUCUAGAUUGUCGAUCUGCCUUGUCUGAUUUUCUCUCACAAAUCUGGGCUGUUAGAUCAUUUUAGAGGUAUUUUUGUCUUUUCGCAUUGGAAAAUAAUCCUUGACCUUUCAAUCUUGUCCCUUUUAAAUCGUGGCCAUCCGAUCUAGAGUUUCAUUAAAGGUUUUUAGGUCUUUUUAUACCUCAAAACACGGUUGUUGGAUCUCUCCCUUAGCGACCAGAGCUGUUCAUCUUCUCCUUGAAUCGAGGCCGCACGAUUGGUUUGGAUGAGAAUCAAAUCGCGGCCGUUGAUUUGAAA
RNAcentral lists this long non-coding RNA (4001 nucleotides) under Carica papaya (papaya). Its description in RNAcentral is "long non-coding RNA (CPAP_LNC002475)". Lineage: Eukaryota; Viridiplantae; Streptophyta; Magnoliopsida; Brassicales; Caricaceae. The record is from RNAcentral.